Molecule: long non-coding RNA, 724 nt
Organism: Pseudophryne corroboree (corroboree frog)
Lineage: Eukaryota; Metazoa; Chordata; Amphibia; Anura; Myobatrachidae
Exons: 2
Source: RefSeq, a predicted model, not a curated record
CAGUCGUGUGCUGCCUGUUGUGUCCUAAGACGGGGCACAGGGAACAAGUUACCCCAGCCCCCCCUGCUGCCUUUGAUCCCCGCAGCAGUGCACUAUUGCACUGCUGAGCUGGAAAAAUGAAUGGUCCGAAAAGGGGGCGGAGCUACACAGCACUGUACUCAAAGUGACAGGCCAGCCAGCACCAUCGAAGAGAGGAGGGGAGAGGAGCAGCACACAGCACAGCCUAAAUAGGUUGGACUGGCCCACAUGGGUACGGGGGAAAGCACUGGUGGGCCCCACUGCCUGGGGGCCCACCUCCUGCUCUAAGGAUCAGGUUCCAGACUGCACCUGAAUUAUAUAUUAUACAUAUGUUACCUUAUACUGGACUAUGGUGUAUUUUCUACAGUGCAUUGCUGUUAUUAAUCUGGUACAUUAUCAUGCAUACAGCAGCUGAAUUUAAUGAAGAGGCCCAGAUGUUGCACUCUCUAAUGGUUAAUGAAACCAAUGUGGUGGCAGGCCACACCCCCUCUGCAGACUGGACACCCCCCCACCACUGCAUUCUCCCGAUGGGCCCUACAUGCCCCUGUCCGACACUGCACUCUUGUGACUAUAGACCAGAUUUGUUUCUGCUUUCAGAUGAGCUAAAGUUUUUAUGAUUAUUUUCAAACAACUUGUUCAUACCUAAGAGCUUAUAUUAAAGAAAUACACAAAUAGUUCAAGAAAAUAAAAGUAAACAUAGAACAAA